GAUGAAGAACGUAGCGAAAUGCGAUAAGUAAUGUGAAUUGCAGAAUUCCGUGAAUCAUCGAAUCUUUGAACGCACAUUGCGCCCCCUGGUAUUCCGGGGGGCAUGCCUGUCCGAGCGUCAUUGCAACCCUCAAGCGCGGCUUGUGUGUUGGGCUUCGUCCCCCCGUGGACGUGCCCGAAAGGCAGUGGCGGCGUCCCGAAUGGUUCCCGAGCGUAUGGGAACUCUCUUCCGCUCGAACCGGCCCAUUCGGCGCUGGUCGAACCCCAAUUUUUUUUUACCGGUUGACCUCGGAUCAGGUAGGGAUACCCGCUGAACUUAAGCAUAUCAAUAAGCGGAGGA
This 339-nucleotide unclassified non-coding RNA is filed under the name soil metagenome. RNAcentral's name for it is "partial contains 5.8S ribosomal RNA, internal transcribed spacer 2, and large subunit ribosomal RNA". The stretch from base 1 to 120 matches the Rfam family "5.8S ribosomal RNA", at positions 35 to 154 of the family's 154-position model. The record is from RNAcentral.